RNAcentral lists this ribosomal RNA (497 nucleotides) under uncultured bacterium. Its description in RNAcentral is "partial 16S ribosomal RNA". It matches the Rfam family "Bacterial small subunit ribosomal RNA", at positions 28 to 507 of the family's 1533-position model. The record is from RNAcentral.
GAUGAACGCUGGCGGCGUGCCUAACACAUGCAAGUCGAGCGAACAGAUCACGUUCGGGCUCCUCUGAUGGUGACGGCGGACGGGUGAGGAACGCGUGCAUAACCUAUCUAUAAGACAGGGAUAACUACGUGAAACUGGAGCUAAUACCGGAUAAUAUAUUGAUCCGCAGGGUUGAAUAGUGAAAGAGGGUUUUGAUGUAACCGAGAGAUGGAUCCGCGACGCAUUAGUUAGUGGGUAAGGUAACGGCUUAGCAAGGCAACGAUGGGUAGCCGACCUGAGAGGGUGAACGAGCCCACAGGAGGUGAGCCGCGGUCCAGGCACUUACGGGCGGCCGAGAUUGCGAAUGUUCGGCGCUGGGCGGAAGCCUGGCGGAGCGGCGCAAGGUGGGUGAUGCAGGUCUUCGGGUCGUAAAACUCUGUUCUUAUUGAAAACCACAUUUAUCAGUAGCUAUGCUCGUCUUGACGGUACCUAAUGAGGAAGCAACGGCUAACUACGUG